Episyrphus balteatus (marmalade hoverfly) is the source of this 1306-nucleotide long non-coding RNA. RefSeq lists it as uncharacterized. NCBI's taxonomy places the organism in Eukaryota, Metazoa, Arthropoda, Insecta, Diptera, Syrphidae. The transcript has 5 exons. The record is from RefSeq and is a predicted model, not a curated record.
GGCUUAACCUAAAAACUUGGCAGCACUGCGUAUUAAAUGUUCCGAAAUCAGCUGACAAGACAAAUAUACAGUUGUAAAGGAAUUGUCAAACGUCAAACAUAAAAAUUUACAGAAGAAACAAACUAAAAAAAAAACAAAAAAAAUUUCGAAAUUCAACAAUUGAUUAGCAACUUUUAUAUUUCCAUUCGAAACAAAAUUAUCAGGGCUAUUCGUGAAUUGUGAUACUCGACCGAGAGAAGUCUAUACCUUUCAAUCAAGUCAACACUUCUAAUCCUCUUGUCGCUGAUGAGGAUGCUCUUAUUCAGCGUCGAUCCAAAAAACAAAUUGGUGGAUUCAUUUAAUCAAAAGUUUAACCAGAACCCAAGGGAAGGGUAGUGAACCCCAACAGAGCCAUUUGCCUUAUUUUCUGGAUAUACCAUUGAGAACAAUAAGUAUAUCAAGUCCGCCACUUGGCGCAGGAGCUGUUGGUGAUGCUGAUCCAUGGAACUCCUCUCCAGCUAGAGCUGCAAAGUCAACUCUUUGUUGAGUUUUAUUUAGCAACUUGUGCUCUCUGAUCCUUGGUCAGGUACAUCGUACAUCGUCACCACAAAUCGAUGCUUGACAUGCCAAUGUUCCUUAAGCAUCUGGUGGUGCUGCUGGUGGUGUUGAAGGAUGUCUCACACAAUAUACUCAAUCACCAUCUGUAGCUUCUGGUUCCUUCUGACUGCAGAGCAACAUCUUUCAAAUGAUACCAUGAAUGGCAAUUCAUCAACCUCACUAUAUCUGAUCCUUGGUUAUCGAAAACUUCAGCUAUAGGAGCAGCAACUGCUGCAUCUCCACCGUCUCUACCAUUAGUUCAAAAUACCAGACCAGUAGUGGUUCGGGUGAUCCUUCGCUGCUUGUAUAUGUAUAUGAAGCAAAAUCAUUAGAAAAAUCAUCAUCAAGAUCCUUGGGCACCAAAAGCUCAACCAAUCUCUGCUAAUAAUGGUGAUCCAUGGAGGAGAACUAGAAAUGAGGCAUCGUCAGUGGCAAAUGUUUCACCUGAUUUGGAUGACUGAUAUAAAUACGAAUAGAGUGGAGACUACACGACACUUGGCCCAAACAUUAACAAUUCAUCACUUUUGGAUAAAUUGGAUCCAUUAUCAACAAGAAACCAUCAUUGAAAAAACCGCAAUCGUUCUUGGGUCAAAAGUCAGCGUUAGUGAAUUUGGACAAUUUAGUUAAACCAAUUGCGACGAGCAAUACAAUUGGCAGUGUAGCUUCCAGCGUACAAUAAAUUUAGUGAUACAAUUGCACCUAAAAAAAUCUAGUGUAACGUCGUCAGUAC